Molecule: ribosomal RNA, 253 nt
Filed under: uncultured bacterium
Lineage: Bacteria
Description: partial 16S ribosomal RNA
Rfam family: Bacterial small subunit ribosomal RNA
Source: RNAcentral
UACGUAGGGUGCAAGCGUUGUCCGGAAUUAUUGGGCGUAAAGAGCUCGUAGGCGGUCUGUCGCGUCGGCUGUGAAAUCCCGAGGCUCAACCUCGGGUCUGCAGUCGAUACGGGCAAACUGGAGUGUUGCAGGGGAGACUGGAAUUCCUGGUGUAGCGGUGAAAUGCGCAGAUAUCAGGGGGAACACCGGUGGCGAAGGCGGGUCUCUGGGCAACAACUGACGCUGAGGAGCGAAAGCGUGGGGAGCGAACAGG